UCCUACGGGAGGCAGCAGUGGGGAAUAUUGGGCAAUGGGCGCAAGCCUGACCCAGCAACGCCGCGUGAAGGAGGAAGGCUUUCGGGUUGUAAACUUCUUUUGUCGGGGACGAAACAAAUGACGGUACCCGACGAAUAAGCCACGGCUAACUACGUGCCAGCAGCCGCGGUAAUACGUAGGUGGCAAGCGUUAUCCGGAUUUACUGGGUGUAAAGGGCGUGUAGGCGGGAUUGCAAGUCAGAUGUGAAAACUGGGGGCUCAACCUCCAGCCUGCAUUUGAAAC
This 282-nucleotide ribosomal RNA is filed under the name uncultured bacterium. RNAcentral describes it as "partial 16S ribosomal RNA". It matches the Rfam family "Bacterial small subunit ribosomal RNA", at positions 337 to 633 of the family's 1533-position model. The record is from RNAcentral.